GCCGGAAUGGCGAAAUGGCAUACGCGGACGCCUCAAAAGCGUCUACCCGAAAGGGUGUGCGGGUUCGAGUCCCGCUUCCGGCACCC
RNAcentral lists this transfer RNA (86 nucleotides) under Streptosporangium minutum. RNAcentral describes it as "tRNA-Leu". It matches the Rfam family "tRNA". Rfam says of the family: Transfer RNA (tRNA) molecules are approximately 80 nucleotides in length. The record is from RNAcentral. Lineage: Bacteria; Bacillati; Actinomycetota; Actinomycetes; Streptosporangiales; Streptosporangiaceae.